GAAUUCAGUAAGCUAAAAUCCAAAGUAAGCCUCUGAUGAUAAUUGGCUCUUAUUUUAUCCAUACGGUCCCAAAGAACAUCUGCUGUCUUUGGCGCAGGGCCAUAUAUUUGUGGUUUCAGGUGCCCCUAAAGUGUCUAUAGGAGCCUAUAAACAAAGCCUAUAAACUGUGUUGUAGGAAAGACAGCACAUAUUGUUACAGGCUCAUACAAAGAAAAUAUAUGUAGUGUUUCAGUCUAGUUCUUACCUUCCUAAGUAGAGUCCUUACACAUGUGUAAGGGAGAUAGGUAUUGAGAAAGGGAGAGUGGGAAUGUGAAGUGAUGCAUAACAUGCAACUUAGUAGGAAUUUUGACCUGUGUUGGGCACAGCUUGACAAGCUUGUGUGUGUGUAUCACCACAUACCCUCACUUCCCCCUUCCCUACCUCUUUCUCCUUACUGACUUCAAGGGAGAGCAUAUAAAUGACAUCAAGGGGUAUGAAAAGCCACUUAACUGCAGACUUGUAGGCAGCAACUCACCCUCAAGAGGAAGUCUUCAGGCUCUAGAAACAUCUUUAACUUCGGCUUCUGCACCAUAAGCCUCAGACUCAAUGCCACCCUGCAGCUGUGCCAGAUCACUUUGUGCCCUGCAGGUGCUGCUGUUGACUGUUCUGGGUUCCUCCACCAAUGGACAAACUAAGAGAAACAUAGGGAAAAGGAAAUGUAGAGAUCUGUUCCUUGCACCUGUUGCUGCUUCUGCUAUACCUGUAUCUGGGAGAAAGACUGGCUUGGUGCUCCUGGGGCUGGAGAGUGCCAUUAUAACAACAAAUCCAAGUGGAGGGGUCACAGAGAGGGGGCACUUCACAUUUGCUGGGCAUUCUGCUGGGCACUUUACUAAAGCUUUACAGAUCAUAUUCACAAUGGCUUUAUGAGAGAGGUACAAUUACCUUCAAUUUACAAUUGAGAGAACUGAGAAAAAUAUUCACGACCACUAAUAGAUCACUUUUUACCCCAGCUGUAAGUGUAGACAGUGACUUGUACACUGAACUGCGCUGCGUGUAUGUGAAGUCAACCUUUGUACUUCAUCCCAGAAACAUCCACAAUUUGGAGUUGGUCUCAGCAGGACCCCAUUGCAGCAAAGACGAAGUAAUGUAAGCCACUGCUUCUGUGCUAUCGCCUCAUCAGGGAAGCCCUCUACCUCCAUCCCCAUCUGCAUUCAUUUCCUCCAGUCUCACAGAUCCUUUCUGAUAUUCAGGCCAGGACACCCACAGAUAAUUCUAUUCUCUCUUGCAGAGCCACUCUGUAAGAUGGGAGAAAAAAUCUGCCUGGACCCAGAUGCUCCCAGAAUCAAUAAAAUUGUACAGAAAAUGUUGAAAGUUGAUGAAUUC
Homo sapiens (human) is the source of this 1362-nucleotide long non-coding RNA. Ensembl annotates it as pro-platelet basic protein pseudogene 2. Its record names the gene PPBPP2. The record is from Ensembl. NCBI's taxonomy places the organism in Eukaryota, Metazoa, Chordata, Mammalia, Primates, Hominidae.